GUGGAUUCUCAAGCGUGAGGUAAGAGCAUUUGGUGGAUGCCUUGGCAUGUGCAGGCGAUGAAGGACGUGGCACGCUGCGAUAAGCGUCGGGGAGAUGUGAGCAAUCUUUGAUCCGGCGAUUUCCGAAUGGGGAAACCCACCCUCACCAUUUCCUUUCGAUUGUCUUCGGACAGUCGGAAAGAGGUGGAUAGGGUAUCACCAGACUGAAUACAUAGGUUUGGUGAAGCGAACCCGGGGAACUGAAACAUCUCAGUACCCGGAGGAAAAGACAUCAACAGAGAUUCCCGUAGUAGUGGCGAGCGAACCGGGACCAGGCCAGUGCCUUCAUUUCAACUAGCAAAACACUUUGGAAAGAGUGGCCAUAGCGGGUGACAGCCCCGUAUGCGAAAGUGAUGAUGAAGGACUCGAGUAGGGCGGGACACGUGAAAUCCUGUCUGAACAUGGGGGGACCACCCUCCAAGCCUAAAUACUCGCACAUGACCGAUAGCGAACACAGUACCGUGAGGGAAAGGUGAAAAGCACCCCGAUUAGGGGAGUGAAACAGUACCUGAAACCGGAUGCUUACAAGCAGUUGGAGCCCCAUAGGGGGUGACAGCGUACCUCUUGCAUAAUGGGUCAGUGACUUAAUCUACCAUGCAAGCUUAAGCCGUUAGGUGUAGGCGCAGCGAAAGCGAGUCUGAAUAGGGCGACUGAGUAUGAUGGAUUAGACCCGAACCCCGGCGAUCUAGGCAUGGCCAGGUUGAAGGUGCAGUAACAUGCACUGGAGGACCGAACCGGUGAAUGUUGAAAAAUUCUCGGAUGAGCUGUGUUUAGGGGUGAAAGGCCAAUCAAGCCGGGAAAUAGCUGGUUCUCCGCGAAAUCUAUUGAGGUAGAGCGUCGGAUGUAUGCCGAUGGGGGUAGAGCACUGGAUGGGCUAGGGCUGCGCGAGCGGUACCAAACCUAACCAAACUCCGAAUACCAUCGAGUCUUAUCCGGCAGACAGACGGCGGGUGCUAAGGUCCGUCGUCAAAAGGGAAACAGCCCUAACCUACAGCUAAGGUCCCCAAGUCAUAUCUAAGUGGGAAAGCAUGUGGGAAUCCCAAAACAACCAGGAGGUUGGCUUAGAAGCAGCCAUCCUUUAAAGAAAGCGUAACAGCUCACUGGUCUAAACAAGGGUUCCUGCGGCGAAGAUGUAACGGGGCUAAAGAUAUGCACCGAAGCUUAGGGUUCAGAAUUUAUUCUGAGCGGUAGCGGAGCGUUCCGUAAGCGAGUGAAGGCGAAGGGUAACCGACGCUGGACGUAUCGGAAGUGCGAAUGCUGACAUGAGUAGCGACAAACAGGGUGAGAUGCCCUGUCGCCGAAAGACCAAGGGUUCCUGCGCAACGCUAAUCGGCGCAGGGUUAGCCGGCCCCUAAGACGAGCCCGAAGGGGGUAGUCGAUGGGAACCACGUAAAUAUUCGUGGGCCUGAAGAUGUGUGACGGAUCGUGGAAGUUGUUUUCUCUUAUUGGAUUGAGAGGGCAGCCAAGCGGUUCCAGGAAAUAGCCUCUUCACUAUAGACCGUACCCGAAACCGACACAGGUGGUCAGGUAGAGUAUACCAAGGCGCUUGAGAGAAGUAUCCUGAAGGAACUCGGCAAAUUGCCUCCGUACCUUCGGAAGAAGGAGGCCCCAUAUCGACGCAAGUCUUUGUGGGGGGCACAGGCCAGGGGGUAGCGACUGUUUAGCAAAAACACAGCACUCUGCUAAGUCGGCUUCAAGACGACGUAUAGGGUGUGACGCCUGCCCGGUGCUCGAAGGUUAAGAGGAGGAGUGCAAGCUCCGAAUUGAAGCCCGAGUAAACGGCGGCCGUAACUAUAACGGUCCUAAGGUAGCGAAAUUCCUUGUCGGGUAAGUUCCGACCUGCACGAAUGGCGUAACGACUUCCCCACUGUCUCCAGGAUAUGCUCAGCGAAAUUGAAUUCUCCGUGAAGAUGCGGAGUACCCGCGGUUAGACGGAAAGACCCCGUGCACCUUUACUGCAGCUUCAGAGUGGCAUUAGGAAAUUACUGUGUAGAAUAGGUGGGAGGCUUUGAAACAUCGGCGCCAGCUGGUGUGGAGCCAACCUGUGAAAUACCACCCUGUGAUUUUCUGAUGUCUAACCACGCACCGUUAUCCGGUGUUGGGACCCUCUGUGGCGGGUAGUUUGACUGGGGCGGUCGCCUCCUAAAGAGUAACGGAGGCGCGCGAUGGUAUGCUCAGGACGGUUGGAAACCGUCUGCAAGAGUGCAAUGGCAUAAGCAUGCCUGACUGCGAGACCGACAGGUCGAGCAGAGACGAAAGUCGGUCAUAGUGAUCCGGUGGUCCCUCGUGGAAGGGCCAUCGCUCAACGGAUAAAAGGUACGCCGGGGAUAACAGGCUGAUGAUUCCCAAGAGCU
Molecule: ribosomal RNA, 2393 nt
Filed under: Erythrobacter sp. HI0019
Lineage: Bacteria; Pseudomonadati; Pseudomonadota; Alphaproteobacteria; Sphingomonadales; Erythrobacteraceae
Description: bacterial LSU rRNA
Rfam family: Bacterial large subunit ribosomal RNA
Source: RNAcentral